AAAAGAAAAAGGAACAAUACGAUAAGAUAAUACUGUGGCGAAUUGGGGAAGAAGAGAAAUCAAUUCAGUAAUGGCGUUAGAACAAACAAUUGCAUUCACUAACCCUUUCUUCUCUUCAACUCCAAGAACCCCUGCAAAAUCUCUCUCUUUUCGAUUUUUCUCCCAAUCCAAGCAAGUACAAACCGCCAAAUUAGCUUCGGGUUGUCGUAUAAGAUGUUCCUUUGAGUACAAUAGUUCUGGAAAUGGAAACGGUAGUGUGUAUGAGUAUGAAAGAUAUGCUGGGGUUUCUCAGUACCCACGGCCUUCCGAAGUACAGUGGAAGAAGGAGCUUUG
Molecule: unclassified non-coding RNA, 333 nt
Filed under: Hevea brasiliensis (rubber tree)
Lineage: Eukaryota; Viridiplantae; Streptophyta; Magnoliopsida; Malpighiales; Euphorbiaceae
Source: RNAcentral